CUACGGGCUGCUCCAGUGAGGAAUUUUGCGCAAUGGGGGGAACCCUGACGCAGCAACGCCGCGUGAGUGAUGAAGGCUUUCGGGUCGUAAAGCUCCGUCAAGUGGGAAGAACCUAUGCAGUGUUAAUAUCACUGUAUACUGACGGUACCACUGAAGGAAGCACCGGCUAACUCCGUGCCAGCAGCCGCGGUAAUACGGGGGGUGCAAGCGUUAUUCGGAAUCAUUGGGCGUAAAGGGCACGUAGGCGGCUUGGUAAGUCAGAUGUGAAAGCCCGGGGCUUAACCCCGGAAGUGCAUUUGAUACUGUCAGGCUUGCGUAUGGGAGAGGGAAGUGGAAUUCCUGGUGUAGAGGUGAAAUUCGUAGAUAUCAGGAGGAACACCGGUGGCGAAGGCGACUUCCUGGACCAAUACUGACGCUGAGGUGCGAAGGCGUGGGUAGCAAACAGGAUUAGAUACCCGCGUAGUC
This 465-nucleotide ribosomal RNA is filed under the name uncultured bacterium. RNAcentral describes it as "partial 16S ribosomal RNA". It matches the Rfam family "Bacterial small subunit ribosomal RNA", at positions 339 to 795 of the family's 1533-position model. The record is from RNAcentral.